AUUGAACGCUGGCGGCAUGCUUUACACAUGCAAGUCGAACGGUAACAGGUUAAGCUGACGAGUGGCGAACGGGUGAGUAAUGCAUCGGAACGUGCCCGGUCGUGGGGGAUAACACUUCGAAAGAAGUGCUAAUACCGCAUACGAUCUGAGGUUGAAAGCGGGGGACCGUAAGGCCUCGCGCGAUCGGAGCGGCCGAUGUCAGAUUAGGUAGUUGGUGGGGUAAAGGCCUACCAAGCCGACGAUCUGUAGCGGGUCUGAGAGGCCGACCAGCCACACUGGGACUGAGACACGGCCGAGACUCCUACGGGAGGCAGCAGUGGGGAAUUUUGGACAAUGGGCGCAAGCCUGAUCCAGCAAUGCCGCGUGCAGGAAGAAGGCCUUCGGGUUGUAAACUGCUUUUGUACGGAGCGAAAAGGCUCUCUCUAAUACAGGGGGCUGAUGACGGUACCGUAAGAAUAAGCACCGGCUAACUACGUGCCAGCCGCCGCCGUAA
Molecule: ribosomal RNA, 493 nt
Filed under: uncultured bacterium
Lineage: Bacteria
Description: partial 16S ribosomal RNA
Rfam family: Bacterial small subunit ribosomal RNA
Source: RNAcentral